GUGGCAAUCAAAAAAAUGGUGAAAAUAAACAGACUUUAAUAACGGUAGUUAUGAUAUUUUAGUGGCGUAUUAAAUGUUGCAAGCCGCCAAGCCGCAAGGAAAACAAAAGAAGGCAACAGGAAAUGAGUUCACAUGAAAAUUCUGUCAAAUUUUAUAUUUGGCGUAUUUUUUUUUAUUUAUUUACUUUUUUUUUUUUGGUACCUACAAAAAUCGAAUUUUUAUAGACAAAUGGGUGCCCGCACUGCUGACGUGCUAAAUUUGUUUUAAUUUUCUUUUGUUUUUGCCAUUUUGUGACAGCUGGCUUCCGACUAACCACCGCCUUUUUCGCGUACACUUUUUUUCGUCUACCGAAAUUUACUUAAAAAAUAUAUGUAUUUGUUUGAGAUAAAAAAAAAAACAACGAACAUUUGCAGGUUCAUGAAAUAUACGUAAAAUAGAGAUGUACCUACAUUAAAAUGCAUGCAGAGCCUUAUUUGACAGGAACUAGAUUUAAAGCGAAAAGCGAAACUUUUCAGAAAACAGAAAAAGCAAAGAAAACUUCCAUACAUAUGUAUGUAUGUACAUACGUAUACACGGAAGCAAAACACGGCAAACCCAUAGCCGCAGCAGCGUAACGAGUAGCAUAAUUAUUUUGCUUCCCUGUGUGGCCUGUCCUCCUUGCACCACAUUUAACAGAUCCGCUUUAACCGGCCGCAAAAUGGAAUGCAUGUAAAAAAAGUGCACAUAUGUAUAUUACAGAAAAGCAUAUAUGUAUGUGUAUAUGUUUAUAACAUACAAAUUGAUAUAAAAUUAAACAAAAAAUUCAAUAAUCGAAUAAACUGCAAAAAAAUACUUGCAAAUAAACGCACUUGCUUGCUUGCCUAGCGGCUUUUACAUACGUUUUACCAGCACAAAAAGGUGGGAAAUGAGUGAAUAGGAGAAAAAAGGCUACGUAUAAAAGAAAGAAGGAAAAAUUGCAGUUGCUGCGGCGCCCAAAACAACCGGGCACGAAGAAAAGCUCACGCGUUGCCAAAUAUACAUAUGUAAGUAUGUAUGUACAUCUGUAUGUACAUAUAAACAACUCAUGACGUUAACUAUUUCGCAACAUCAAUGCUGAAAAGUUAAACACAACCGGUAUUAGGACCGCAACCGAUUAAAUUCCAAUCUGCCGAAAAAAAAACCACUUCAAGAUCAAAGUCGCCGUCUGUUUCCUUGUGCAAAACCCAAUAACCAUGGCAGAGACAAUCGAAAAUCAUGUGGAUAAAAAUGAUUUUAAAAGAUAGGUAUAAACGAUAAGAAAAUGGUAAAAAAAAGCUUAGUGUAAAAACUGUAAAGCAGAAAUGAAACCUGCAAUGUUGCCAACGUAGGCGUCAACGUCGCCGCCGCAGCUGCUAAAGGCAAGCUGACAUUACAGAUCCUCAGGAAACAACGGAAUUUACCGACGACAAAUUAAAGAAAAUACUAGAACGGGAAACGAAACUAUGAAAUUAAGCCGUUAUAUAUUUUUGGUAAAUCAAACGCGGUUGUAAGAGAAUCAUGGCGGAAUAUGGCACCUUGUGGAAUGGUGUAAAGAUUCCUGACCAAAUUUUCACAAAUAAAAUUAACUUGCAUACAUAUGAAUAUAUAUAUAUUUACAAUUAUUAUCUAUGAGUUUCUUCACGUGUGAAACGACUGGGUUUAUUUUAUUGUAUUUUCGGAAUAGAAAGCUAAAGAAAAGUGUAAAAAGAUUUCGCAAUAAGAUAAAGGUUGUGCUUAAUGGACAACAUACAGAAAAUAUUGCAGCAAGUAUUAUUAGAAUUAAUAACAAGAUGAACAACGCGACUAAAUCUAACAAACUCGGACAAUUGUACAGAUCUAUUCCUGGCAGAAACAUCAAUCCGCCCAAACAUAUCAUAAUAUCCUGGAUGAUACUUUUAACUUUUGGUAGACCUUAGAUGGCUGAAAAUCCAAUAACCAUGGUUUACACAAUCGGAAGUAAUAUCGCUUAUAACUGAGGUAAAAUAGAUAAGCGCUCUGAAAUAGCAAAGGAAAGCACAACCUAAAAAAAAAAAAAACAUCUGCAGAAUCGCCAACGUAGACGCCGCCGUUGUAAUCGUAGCCGCUAAAGGCAAGCUGACUUCGCAUUUCCACCAAGAAGCAACGGCGUCGACGGACGAAUAGAAGAAAAUAGAACGGGAAACGAAGCCAUGGAGUGGGGCAAUAAACAUUUUCUUAAAACAAUUUUGUGUAAACUUCAAAAUAUAUAUGAAUGUAUGUAGUAAUAAAUAAGAACAUUACGUUUUGUUACUAAA
RNAcentral lists this long non-coding RNA (2270 nucleotides) under Ceratitis capitata (Mediterranean fruit fly). Its description in RNAcentral is "uncharacterized LOC110118560". Lineage: Eukaryota; Metazoa; Arthropoda; Insecta; Diptera; Tephritidae. The record is from RNAcentral.